Long non-coding RNA from Topomyia yanbarensis, 1428 nucleotides. RefSeq lists it as uncharacterized. The transcript is spliced from 3 exons. The record is from RefSeq and is a predicted model, not a curated record. NCBI's taxonomy places the organism in Eukaryota, Metazoa, Arthropoda, Insecta, Diptera, Culicidae.
GAGCUGGAAUUCAUGCUGGAAGUCCGAAUCGGUUCCGGACUAGUUUGACUGGGUAGAGGAAUAACCGCUGUCAAUUCUGUCGCACUCAGCCACAAAAAAAACAUGACGACAGUAGCGCACCUGGUUUAGAUAUCCAAACUACCUUCGAAACCGUUAGAGAUUUUACACAAGUUGAAUGCUGAAGAUGGACGUCUGUUCUCUGUGCUACAAGUGCAAUCUGUUUUAAGAGCGGCUUCAAGAGCGCCAUAAAACUACAAUUGCUACUAGAGCUGUAAAUAUACGAUCAAAGAUUCCACAUAGGGAUACCCGAGUACCUGGUACCGCAGUUGGCGCCGUAACAAGUAUAUUCAUGUCAAAUAGUUCUGAGGUAAGCAACAUUUGACAUAGGUACCAACAUCGAAAGAAUUUUACGCAGAGGAUACAUGCUAUAUAAAUUCAAAAUAGCGUCAUAACUAUUUGCCAUGAAAGCGACUCAAGUGUACUCCAGUAUUCAAUACAAAUAAACUCGUUCUUAUGCGAUACUUAUGCUAUUCAAUAAUACCGUUGCAGCGAUGUCUAAGCCGGAAACAUCCUGCUGACCGAACAGGAUGUAGACAGGUUAGCCGACAGCGAUAGUGCAGCUAUCAAAUGCCCUGCCAAUAGUUUUGUCGGAACACCUUACUGGAUGGCCCCGGAAGUGAUUCUGGCGAUGUAUGAAGGAUAGUAUGAUGGCAAGGUGGAUGUUUAGUCACUAGGAAUUACUUGUAUCGAGCUGGAGAAACGGAAUCAUUCCUACUUCAACAUGAUGGAAAUGUUGACGCUGUAUCACAUUGCGCAAAAUGAGGCGUCCACGUUGCAGGCUACGGACUGGAAAGAUGUGUUCAGCAGUUUUGUUUUUUGCUUGAAGAAACCUUCGGUAGAGUAACCAAACUCUAGUAAACUGUUAACUCAUUCAUUCAUAACUAGGAUACGAUUGCUAAUGUGCUAAUUGAUUUGAUAGCAAGAACAAUAGCUGCCGUUACAGAAUUGGACAAUCUGAACUGUAGGAAGAUGAACAAAAUUUAAAUGGCCAACUCCUGCGAAACGGAAGUAACGUCGGCGAGAACACACCGGACGAGCGAAUCGGUGGCGACAGUAGUACAAAUAACAGGAUCACCUUAGAACAUUCACUCCAUUCGGUGGAUCAGCUUGGUGGAAUUAUACGGAAUGCUUCGAGGCAUCAGCUGCCAGGAUCCGGGCUGACGCCAAUGCACAACAGUAGUAUGAAUAACUCUAGCGAUCGGGGUAGUUUGAAACCUGGCGACGGUAUUGGUCGGAUGGAUUCCGGAAUUGGUGGAGGCAGCAGCGAAGGUAUAGACAGCUGGUGGAAGUUGUUCUGGACUCUUGCUCCGGAAACAUCAGUGUUCAUGCCACACGCAGAAAAAUAAUUUUUAAUGUCAAAUAAUAUGA